GACGAACGCUGGCGGCGUGCCUAAUACAUGCAAGUCGAGCGAAGUUUUUCUGGUGCUUGCACCGGAAAAACUUAGCGGCGAACGGGUGAGUAACACGUAAAGAACCUGCCUCAUAGACUGGGACAACUAUUGGAAACGAUAGCUAAUACCGGAUAAUAGCAUUAACUGCAUGGUUGAUGUUUAAAAGUUGGUUUUGCUAACACUAUGAGAUGGCUUUGCGGUGCAUUAGCUAGUUGGUGGGGGAAAGGCCUACCAAGGCGACGAUGCAUAGCCGACCUGAGAGGGUGAUCGGCCACACUGGGACUGAGACACGGCCCAGACUCCUACGGGAGGCAGCAGUAGGGAAUCUUCAGCAAUGGGCGAAAGCCUGACGGAGCAACGCCGCGUGAGUGAAGAAGGAUUUCGGUUCGUAAAGCUCUGUUGUUAGGGAAGAAUGAUUGUGUAGUAACUAUACACAGUAGAGACGGUACCUAACCAGAAAGCCACGGCUAACUACGUG
This 499-nucleotide ribosomal RNA is filed under the name uncultured bacterium. RNAcentral's name for it is "partial 16S ribosomal RNA". It matches the Rfam family "Bacterial small subunit ribosomal RNA", at positions 28 to 507 of the family's 1533-position model. The record is from RNAcentral.